This 233-nucleotide ribosomal RNA is filed under the name uncultured bacterium. Its description in RNAcentral is "partial 16S ribosomal RNA". It matches the Rfam family "Bacterial small subunit ribosomal RNA", at positions 102 to 334 of the family's 1533-position model. The record is from RNAcentral.
CCACGGGUGAGUAACACGUAUCCAACCUGCCGUCUACUCUUGGACAGCCUUCUGAAGGAAGAUUAAUACAAGAUGGCAUCAUGAGUCCGCAUGUUCACAUGAUUAAAGGUAUUCCGGUAGACGAUGGGGAUGCGUUCCAUUAGAUAGUAGGCGGGGUAACGGCCCACCUAGUCUUCGAUGGAUAGGGGUUCUGAGAGGAAGGUCCCCCACAUUGGAACUGAGACACGGCCCAA